Molecule: long non-coding RNA, 747 nt
Organism: Sarcophilus harrisii (Tasmanian devil)
Lineage: Eukaryota; Metazoa; Chordata; Mammalia; Dasyuromorphia; Dasyuridae
Source: Ensembl
UAGCAACAAAGCAAUCCCUACUUUCAAUACUUGGGAAUAGGAGAAGCUCAGGUUUAUGUCUACCCAACACUAAUAGAAAGAUAAGAAAUGCACCAGAGAUGGUGAAGGAGACCACUAGAAGCUGGCAGGGGAGCCGGAAAAGCGCCAUAUAAAAGAGCCAUGGCUCUCGAUUCUGAGGCAAAGGUGACGGUGGAGCACUCUUCAGGCAUGAGGGCCGGUCAUUCCCAAAGCAUGAGAGCAGAAAAUGCCAGUUUGUCCUGAUCACUCUGGAAAAGGGAACAGUGUCUGGUGACCCUAGGUGGCUGAGGCUCCGUGAGUUAGUCUUAGCCACCCAUUAGCCUCAGGAGGCAAAUCACCAGGAAGCUGAGCACAAAUUUGGAAGAAAUCACCAGUGGGAACCAGCCACUCAUCGCCAGGGCAGAGGCUGUGAUUAGGUCAGAGGAGGAGAACAGAAGCAGGGGAGAUACAAAGAGAACAAGCAACUUUAUCUCAGGUUAAAAAAAAAUGAAGCUUUAAGAAGUGAAUGGACUUAUCUGGGGAAGAAGACUUCCUAAAUGUGGAUCCAGAAUCCAAGAUGAGGCUCUCUGUCCUGCACCACACUGCCUCGAGGAGGAGAGAGGGGCUUCUUGGUGUCCUGGAAAGAUCCCAGAGCUGUGAUCAGCCGCAUUCGAUUCCAGGCUCUGCCUCCAUUGUUGUGUGACCUCGAUGUCACCAGUAAAAUAAAAAGCAUGAUGGCAAGAUGAUCUC